RNAcentral lists this ribosomal RNA (325 nucleotides) under uncultured Oscillospiraceae bacterium. RNAcentral's name for it is "bacterial SSU rRNA". It matches the Rfam family "Bacterial small subunit ribosomal RNA", at positions 355 to 696 of the family's 1533-position model. Lineage: Bacteria; Bacillati; Bacillota; Clostridia; Eubacteriales; Oscillospiraceae. The record is from RNAcentral.
UGGGGAAUAUUGGGCAAUGGGGCGAAAGCCUGACCCAGCAACGCCGCGUGAAGGAAGAAGGUCUUCGGAUUGUAAACUUUUGUCUUAUGGGACGAUAAUGACGGUACCAUAGGAGGAAGCCACGACUAACUACGUGCCAGCAGUCGCGGUAAUACGUAGGUGGCGAGCGUUAUCCGGAAUUAUUGGGUGUAAAGGGUGCGUAGGCGGGACGUAAAGUCAGAUGUGAAAUGCGGAGGCCCAACCUCCGAACUGCAUUUGAAACUUACGUUCUUGAGUGGAGUAGAGGCAAGCGGAAUUCCCGGUGUAGCGGUGAAAUGCAUAGAUA